This 1491-nucleotide ribosomal RNA is filed under the name uncultured Prevotellaceae bacterium. RNAcentral describes it as "bacterial SSU rRNA". It matches the Rfam family "Bacterial small subunit ribosomal RNA". The record is from RNAcentral. Lineage: Bacteria; Pseudomonadati; Bacteroidota; Bacteroidia; Bacteroidales; Prevotellaceae.
AGAGUUUGAUCAUGGCUCAGGAUGAACGCUAGCUACAGGCUUAACACAUGCAAGUCGAGGGGCAGCAUGGGCUUAGCUUGCUAAGCCCGAUGGCGACCGGCGCACGGGUGAGUAACACGUAUCCAACCUUCCGGUAACUCCGGUAUAGCCUUUCGAAAGAAAGAUUAAUCCCGGAUAGUAUGGUGAUUCCGCAUGGUUUCUCCAUUAAAGGAUUCCGGUUACCGAUGGGGAUGCGUUCCAUUAGGCAGUUGGCGGGGUAACGGCCCACCAAACCUACGAUGGAUAGGGGUUCUGAGAGGAAGGUCCCCCACAUUGGAACUGAGACACGGUCCAAACUCCUACGGGAGGCAGCAGUGAGGAAUAUUGGUCAAUGGGCGGAAGCCUGAACCAGCCAAGUAGCGUGAAGGAUGACUGCCCUAUGGGUUGUAAACUUCUUUUAUAAGGGAAUAAUUGUGGGUACGCGUACCCAUUUGCAUGUACCUUAUGAAUAAGGAUCGGCUAACUCCGUGCCAGCAGCCGCGGUAAUACGGAGGAUCCGAGCGUUAUCCGGAUUUAUUGGGUUUAAAGGGAGCGUAGGCGGGCGCUUAAGUCAGCUGUGAAAGUUUGGGGCUCAACCUUAAAAUUGCAGUUGAUACUGGGUGCCUUGAGUGCAGUAUAGGCAGGCGGAAUUCGUGGUGUAGCGGUGAAAUGCUUAGAUAUCACGAAGAACUCCUAUUGCGAAGGCAGCUUGCUGGAGUGUAACUGACGCUGAUGCUCGAAAGUGUGGGUAUCAAACAGGAUUAGAUACCCUGGUAGUCCACACAGUAAACGAUGAAUACUCGCUGUUUGCGAUAUACUGCAAGCGGCCAAGCGAAAGCGUUAAGUAUUCCACCUGGGGAGUACGCCGGCAACGGUGAAACUCAAAGGAAUUGACGGGGGCCCGCACAAGCGGAGGAACAUGUGGUUUAAUUCGAUGAUACGCGAGGAACCUUACCCGGGCUUGAAUUGCAACCGAAUUAUCCGGAAACGGGUAAGCCGCAAGGCGGUUGUGAAGGUGCUGCAUGGUUGUCGUCAGCUCGUGCCGUGAGGUGUCGGCUUAAGUGCCAUAACGAGCGCAACCCUUAUCCACAGUUACCAUCAGGUGAUGCUGGGGACUCUGUGGAGACUGCCGUCGUAAGAUGCGAGGAAGGGGGGGAUGACGUCAAAUCAGCACGGCCCUUACGUCCGGGGCUACACACGUGUUACAAUGGGGGGUACAGCAGGCAGCUCGGCGGCGACGCCCGGCCAAUCCCUAAAUCCCCUCUCAGUUCGGACUGGAGUCUGCAACCCGACUCCACGAAGCUGGAUUCGCUAGUAAUCGCGCAUCAGCCACGGCGCGGUGAAUACGUUCCCGGGCCUUGUACACACCGCCCGUCAAGCCAUGAAAGCCGGGGGUACCUGAAGUGCGUAACCGUCCAGGAGCGCCCUAGGGUAAAACCGGUGAUUGGGGCUAAGUCGUAACAAGGUAGCCGU